RNAcentral lists this ribosomal RNA (253 nucleotides) under uncultured bacterium. Its description in RNAcentral is "partial 16S ribosomal RNA". It matches the Rfam family "Bacterial small subunit ribosomal RNA", at positions 524 to 776 of the family's 1533-position model. The record is from RNAcentral.
UACGGAGGGGGCUAGCGUUGUUCGGAAUUACUGGGCGUAAAGCGUACGUAGGCGGCUUUUUAAGUCAGAGGUGAAAUCCCACGACUCAAUCGUGGAACUGCCUUUGAGACUGGAUCGCUUGAAGAUGGGAGAGGUUAGUGGAAUUCCGAGUGUAGAGGUGAAAUUCGUAGAUAUUCGGAAGAACACCAGUGGCGAAGGCGGCUAACUGGACCAUUCUUGACGCUGAGGUACGAAAGCGUGGGGAGCAAACAGG